GGGGCUGUGGCUCAGCGGUAGAGUACUCACCUAGCAUGUUCGAGGAGCUGGGUUCGAUCCUCAGCACCACA
RNAcentral lists this transfer RNA (71 nucleotides) under Marmota monax (woodchuck). RNAcentral's name for it is "tRNA.Ala". Lineage: Eukaryota; Metazoa; Chordata; Mammalia; Rodentia; Sciuridae. The record is from RNAcentral.